This 239-nucleotide unclassified non-coding RNA is filed under the name Hevea brasiliensis (rubber tree). Lineage: Eukaryota; Viridiplantae; Streptophyta; Magnoliopsida; Malpighiales; Euphorbiaceae. The record is from RNAcentral.
AAUUUAAUUCGGUUCGGUUUGGUUUGGUUUGAACCGAACACUCACCCCUACUUCUUCCUUUAUGAUUAAAAAUAAGGGAGUCCCCAAUACACCAGGCUCCCUGCCCUGCAAUGGGCAGGAGAGGUGCAUCUAUUGUAGAGUGAGGUAUGCACGAAUAAGCAUUGCUGUUCUGUUACAUAUAGCUUACUACAGAACUUGAUGCAACUAGAGCAGUGUCUUUAUCAUUUCAAUAGUUGAAU